Carassius auratus (goldfish) is the source of this 715-nucleotide long non-coding RNA. RefSeq lists it as uncharacterized. The transcript is spliced from 2 exons. The record is from RefSeq and is a predicted model, not a curated record. NCBI's taxonomy places the organism in Eukaryota, Metazoa, Chordata, Actinopteri, Cypriniformes, Cyprinidae.
ACUUUGUAAAAUUAUGGUUGAACCACUGGUGUCACAUGGACUGUUUUACUGAUGUCCUUACUAUGUUUCUGGGUCUGGGAACAUUCCAGUUCUGUUGUUAACCAUACAGGGUCCAGAUGUGUAACAUUUUCCACUGUAAUGUUUGUUAGAAUCCCAUCUUGACUGCUUGCCUGGAUUUCCCAUAAGAAGAUGAAUGACUGACUUUUUUUCAUGUAAUUUUAGAAAAAAAAAACAAAGGCUAAAUUUUGUUGUUUUCAUCUUCAGACUAAUGAAAUUGAAGUAUCCAAAUGAAGACCCUAGCAGUAUGGAGUAUAUGGAUACAGACGUUGCCAGCAGUCAGGAGGUGAUCCAGAAGACUCAUGGGAAUCUAUUUGAAGCUGCAUCAUUGAAGACAGUCCAGCAGAAGUUGGAGUUUUAAAGGAUAAAGUUCUUCAGGACCUAUAGCAGUUUACAGUCUGUAAAACCAUGUUACUGGGACUGAUUUAUGGACUGAACUUGAGCAACCCUCCUGAACUCAGGUACACAUUUGGAAUACUGAAGAAGUUAUUUCUGGAGCCACUUCCUGUUCCUGGAAUAAGGUUUGAUUGGUUGCCCAUGAAUGCCAAUUAGAAUUGUAUUUGCUAUUUUGUGUAAUUUUGUAAUGUGGUUUAAACUGUAUUUUACUGUGUGUAAUUAUUUAUUGCUUGUUUAACAAAUACACUUUGAUCAUUUGUGA